GCCUCAGUAGCUCAGUUGGUUAGAGCACCUGACUGUUAAUCAGGGGGUCCUAGGUUCAAGUCCUAGUUGAGGCGCCA
This 77-nucleotide transfer RNA is filed under the name Bacilli bacterium. RNAcentral's name for it is "tRNA-Asn". It matches the Rfam family "tRNA". Rfam says of the family: Transfer RNA (tRNA) molecules are approximately 80 nucleotides in length. Their secondary structure includes four short double-helical elements and three loops (D, anti-codon, and T loops). Lineage: Bacteria; Bacillati; Bacillota; Bacilli. The record is from RNAcentral.